This is a non-coding RNA of Cinara cedri, 408 nucleotides long. NCBI's taxonomy places the organism in Eukaryota, Metazoa, Arthropoda, Insecta, Hemiptera, Aphididae. The record is from the annotation of a GenBank genome assembly.
GUUUACUAUGUCCUUACAUGAGAUGUGGUAACUGAAUUAAAAUCCAUCAGAAGUAAUUGUACCAAUGAAUUUAAAAAAAUAUUUUCUCAAAUACAGGUAAAAAGUUUUGUAAUUACAAAAAGUAAAUAGUGUUUAAAGUUCAAUUUUAUUAAUUAAUAAACAUAUACGUAUAUUGUUUAUUAUUUUUAUUAAAAGAAUACAAUUUUAAAUAAAUAUUUUUAGAGAAUGGCUGAAAAACUUGAAUUAGAAUUGACAGUAAAAGGACUAUGUAAAAGACAAUAAAAUCGUGCAGAUCCAUCAACAGAUAAAAAUGAAACAUGAGAUGCUGAAAAUUAUUAUAGGAUAAACAUUUUUUUACCAUAUCUUGAAUAUUUCAUAAACAAACUCCAACAAAGAUUUUUAUCUCAU